This 3065-nucleotide ribosomal RNA is filed under the name human gut metagenome. Its description in RNAcentral is "bacterial LSU rRNA". It matches the Rfam family "Bacterial large subunit ribosomal RNA". The record is from RNAcentral.
UGUUGCUUGCAAGGGCGUAUGGUGGAUGCCUUGGCAGACAGGACCGAUGAAGGACGUUUGAGGCUGCGAUAUGCCUCGGGGAGCCGCCAACAGGGCUUUGAUCCGAGGAUUUCCGAAUGGGGGAACCCACCGACCGUCAUGGGUCGGUACCGGCUUCGGCCGGGGGGUACGCAGGGAAGUGAAACAUCUCAGUACCUGCAGGAAAGGAUAUUCCGUGAGUAGUGGCGAGCGAAAGCGGAUGAUGGCCAAACCUUGCGCGUGUGAUACCCGUCGGGGGUUGCGCGCGGGGUGUUGCGGGAUCGCGUGCGCCGGCUCCGACGGGCCGGCCGGCAGUUGCAGAAAACCAUGUGUCAGGGGAACCGGGUUGAAUACCGGGCCGCAGAGGGUGAGGGCCCCGUACCUGAACGCGCAUGGUCUGCCGAUCGCGUCUCCCAAGUAGCACGGGUCCCGUGGAACCCCGUGCGAAUCCGCCCAGACCGUUGGGUAAGCCUGAAUAUUCCUGUCUGACCGAUAGCGAACGAGUACCGUGAGGGAAAGGUGAAAAGUACCCCGGGAGGGGAGUGAAACAGUCUCUGAAACCGUGCGCCUACAAUCCGUCGGAGCCCUUUUGUGGGGUGACGGCGUGCCUAUCGAAAAAUGAGUCUGCGAGUCAGUGGCAUGUGGCGAGCAUAACCCGUGUGGGGUAUGCGUAGCGAAGGCGAGUCUUAAAAGGCGUUUGAGUCGCGUGUCCUGGACCCGAAGCGGGAUGAUCUAGCCCUGAGCAGGUUGAAGCGCGGGUAAGACCGCGUGGAGGACCGAACCCACCUGGGUUGAAAACCGGGGGGAUGACUUGGGGCUAGGGGUGAAAGGCCAAUCAAAUUCCGUGAUAGCUGGUUCUCUCCGAAAUGCAUUUGGGUGCAGCGUCGGGUCAUUACGUCCCGGGGGUAGAGCUACUGGAUGCUUGCGGGCCCGUAUCGGGUACCAACAGCAACCAAACUCCGAAUACCGGUGACGCGUAUCCCGGCAGUGAGUCGGCGGGGGAUAAGCUUCGUCGUCGAAAGGGAAACAGCCCAGACCGUCGUCUAAGGUCCCGAAGCGUGUGCUAAGUGGGAAAGGAUGUGGAGUCGCAUAGACAGCCAGGAGGUUGGCUCAGAAGCAGCCACCCUUGAAAGAGUGCGUAACAGCUCACUGGUCUAGUGGUUCCGCGCCGACAAUGUAGCGGGGCUCAAGCACACCACCGAAGACGCGGCAGUAUUUUGUACUGGGUAGGAGAGCGUCCCAUGAGGGGCGAAGCGGCCGUGUGAACGCGCCGUGGACUUCAUGGGAGUGAGAAUGCAGACAUGAGUAGCGAGAGACGGGUGAAGAUCCCGUCCGCUGGAUGACCAAGGGUUCCAGGGCCACGUUCAUCGUCCCUGGGUGAGUCGGGUCCUAAGGCGAGGCCGACAGGCGUAGUCGAAUGGAUGAACGGGUCGAUAUUCCCGUACCGGCUUUCAGCCGCCAAAACCGAGGCUUGGAGUACUAACCUCCGGGUCCGGGCUUACUGCUCCUUCGGGGGCGGGAUGCCCUGGCCUGUUGGGACCGAUCCUUGUAGUAGGUCAGCGCAGGAGUGACGCAGAAGGGUAGCCGGCCGCGGAGGUGGUCUUCCGUGGUCAAGCACGCAGGGCGUGGGACAGGCAAAUCCGUCCCGCAUGGGUCCGAGGUGCGAUGAUGGGGGCCUUAUGGCCCGAUAUCCGGUGAUCCCGGCUGCCGAGAAAAGCUUCGGCGUCAGGCUCAAAGCCGCCCGUACCCCAAACCGACACUGGUGGUCAGGUAGAGAAUACCAAAGCGAUCGAGCGAAUCCUGGUCAAGGAACUCGGCAAAUCACUCCCGUUCCUUCGGUUUAAGGGAGACCCCCGAUGGUGAACACACUUGCUGUGGGAGCUUUUGGGGGUGGCACAGACCAGGGGGUAGCGACUGUUUACCAAAAACACAGGUGCAUGCGAAGGCGCAAGCCGCUGUAUAUGCACUGACGCCUGCCCGGUGCCGGAAGGUUAAGAGGAUCCGUCAGCCUUCGGGUGAAGCGGUGAAUUCAAGCCCCGGUAAACGGCGGUGGUAACUAUAACCAUCCUAAGGUAGCGAAAUUCCUUGUCGGGUAAGUUCCGACCUGCACGAAUGGCGUAAUGAUGGCCAGGCUGUCUCCACCCGAGACUCAGUGAAAUUGAACUCGCUGUGAAGAUGCAGUGUACCCGCGGCAAGACGGAAAGACCCCGUGAACCUUUACUAUAGCUUGACACUGAACAUUGAGCCUUGAUGUGUAGGAUAGGUGGGAGGCUUUGAAGUGUGGACGCCAGUCUGCAUGGAGCCGACCUUGAAAUACCACCCUUUAAUGUUUGAUGUUCUAACGUUGACCCGUAAUCCGGGUUGCGGACAGUGUCUGGUGGGUAGUUUGACUGGGGCGGUCUCCUCCUAAAGAGUAACGGAGGAGCACGAAGGUUGGCUAAUCCUGGUCGGACAUCAGGAGGUUAGUGCAAUGGCAUAAGCCAGCUUGACUGCGAGCGUGACGGCGCGAGCAGGUGCGAAAGCAGGUCAUAGUGAUCCGGUGGUUCUGAAUGGAAGGGCCAUCGCUCAACGGAUAAAAGGUACUCCGGGGAUAACAGGCUGAUACCGCCCAAGAGUUCAUAUCGACGGCGGUGUUUGGCACCUCGAUGUCGGCUCAUCACAUCCUGGGGCUGAAGUAGGUCCCAAGGGUAUGGCUGUUCGCCAUUUAAAGUGGUACGCGAGCUGGGUUUAGAACGUCGUGAGACAGUUCGGUCCCUAUCUGCCGUGGGCGCUGGAGAACUGAGGGGGGCUGCUCCUAGUACGAGAGGACCGGAGUGGACGCAUCACUGGUGUUCGGGUUGUCAUGCCAAUGGCACUGCCCGGUAGCUAAAUGCGGAAGAGAUAAGUGCUGAAAGCAUCUAAGCACGAAACUUGCCCCGAGAUGAGUUCUCCCUGACUCCUUGAGAGUCCUGAAGGAACGUUGAAGACGACGACGUUGAUAGGCCGGGUGUGUAAGCGCAGCGAUGCGUUGAGCUAACCGGUACUAAUGAACCGUGAGGCUUAACCUU